GAUGAACGCUGGCGGCGUGCCUAAUACAUGCAAGUCGAGCGAACGGACGAGAAGCUUGCUUCUCUGAUGUUAGCGGCGGACGGGUGAGUAACACGUGGAUAACCUACCUAUAAGGCUGGGAUAACUUCGGGAAACCGGAGCUAAUACCGGAUAAUAUUUUGAACCGCAUGGUUCAAAAGUGAAAGACGGUCUUGCUGUCACUUAUAGAUGGAUCCGCGCUGCAUUAGCUAGUUGGUAAGGUAACGGCUUACCAAGGCAACGAUGCAUAGCCGACCUGAGAGGGUGAUCGGCCACACUGGAACUGAGACACGGUCCAGACUCCUACGGGAGGCAGCAGUAGGGAAUCUUCCGCAAUGGGCGAAAGCCUGACGGAGCAACGCCGCGUGAGUGAUGAAGGUCUUCGGAUCGUAAAACUCUGUUAUUAGGGAAGAACAUAUGUGUAAGUAACUGUGCACAUCUUGACGGUACCUAAUCAGAAAGCCACGGCUAACUACGUGCCAGCAGCCGCGGUAAUACGUAGGUGGCAAGCGUUAUCCGGAAUUAUUGGGCGUAAAGCGCGCGUAGGCGGUUUUUUAAGUCUGAUGUGAAAGCCCACGGCUCAACCGUGGAGGGUCAUUGGAAACUGGAAAACUUGAGUGCAGAAGAGGAAAGUGGAAUUCCAUGUGUAGCGGUGAAAUGCGCAGAGAUAUGGAGGAACACCAGUGGCGAAGGCGACUUUCUGGUCUGUAACUGACGCUGAUGUGCGAAAGCGUGGGGAUCAAACAGGAUUAGAUACCCUGGUAGUCCACGCCGUAAACGAUGAGUGCUAAGUGUUAGGGGGUUUCCGCCCCUUAGUGCUGCAGCUAACGCAUUAAGCACUCCGCCUGGGGAGUACGACCGCAAGGUUGAAACUCAAAGGAAUUGACGGGGACCCGCACAAGCGAUGGAGCAUGUGGUUUAAUUCGAAGCAACGCGAAGAACCUUACCAAAUCUUGACAUCCUUUGACAACUCUAGAGAUAGAGCUUUCCCCUUCGGGGGACAAAGUGACAGGUGGUGCAUGGUUGUCGUCAGCUCGUGUCGUGAGAUGUUGGGUUAAGUCCCGCAACGAGCGCAACCCUUAAGCUUAGUUGCCAUCAUUAAGUUGGGCACUCUAAGUUGACUGCCGGUGACAAACCGGAGGGAGGUGGGGAUGACGUCAAAUCAUCAUGCCCCUUAUGAUUUGGGCUACACACGUGCUACAAUGGACAAUACAAAGGGCAGCGAAACCGCGAGGUCAAGCAAAUCCCAUAAAGUUGUUCUCAGUUCGGAUUGUAGUCUGCAACUCGACUACAUGAAGCUGGAAUCGCUAGUAAUCGUAGAUCAGCAUGCUACGGUGAAUACGUUCCCGGGUCU
RNAcentral lists this ribosomal RNA (1372 nucleotides) under uncultured bacterium. Its description in RNAcentral is "bacterial SSU rRNA". It matches the Rfam family "Bacterial small subunit ribosomal RNA", at positions 28 to 1381 of the family's 1533-position model. The record is from RNAcentral.